Molecule: ribosomal RNA, 229 nt
Filed under: uncultured bacterium
Lineage: Bacteria
Description: partial 16S ribosomal RNA
Rfam family: Bacterial small subunit ribosomal RNA
Source: RNAcentral
UGCGCAGGUGGGGAUGUAAGUCAGUGGUGAAAUGUUGCCGCUCAACGGUAAAAUUGCCAUUGAUACUGCAUCUCUUGAGUAUGGUUGAGGUAGGCGGAAUGUGUUGUGUAGCGGUGAAAUGCAUAGAUAUGACACAGAACACCGAUUGCGAAGGCAGCUUACUAAGCCAUUACUGACGCUGAGGCACGAAAGCGUGGGUAGCGAACAGGAUUAGAUACCCUGGUAGUCC